CGAAAUUCUCUCCAAAAGAAGAAAGAAAAAUCUCUCUCAAUUCCUUGUCCUAAUCUUGCUCAAUCUCAUAAACUAACCGGUUAAUCUUGAAUUCCUUCCAUAAAACCUCUUCAUUUGGUAUUAGUAAGUUGAUUGGUGAAGUGUUUGUGGAAGCUAAGGUGACAAGCAACUCCCUCUCUCUUGUUUUACUAGACGGUGGUGAACUAGGCGGAGCCGGUGGGGCCCACUACUAGCCAACCAACGAAGUGAUUUCCGCUUUUGUACUACUUUUGUAUUUGGAGUAAGUAUUCAGGCCGCUUUUGUAUGUUAGUGCUUAUGUGUUUCGAUAUGUAUGAAGAGGGUACUUAGACGAGGGUGUACUUUAUCGCACUCGCUCUAAACCCUAAUUUGCACACAUAUUUGUACAUGGCUUAUGUAUAUGAGCAAUUUUGGAACUAAAACCCUUGAGCUGGUGGCUCAGGGUGACUUUUGAAUAAUUUUUGUGAAUUUUGUGAGUUUGAGGUUGAACUCAAUACCUAGAUGGACUAUUCGAGCCGGUUAGGGCUUGGUCGAAGUCAGUCCAACUUGGUUUGAGGUCACCAAGUUUGUGAACCCGAUUCGCUGAGUAUGUGAACCAAUUUUGUGACCCGAGCUUGUGACUCAAGCUCAAGUUUGUGAUUUCGUUCGCCUGGGCAAGUUUGUGAGGUGACUGGCCAGUGAGGGUGAUAAGGUGUUCGGUGGGUGUACAAGUGGAGUUCUACGGACCUUAUGUAUGGUCGACGGAGUGUCGACAGGAGGUCACGCAUGGCAACGACUUGGCUUUGGAGCCACCUGUAUCCUUAUUAUGUGAUGUUACUUUCUGCUUUUGCUUUACUCUUAUUGAGUAACUGUGGUUACGUGACAUUUACGCUUUUGCCCCUGUUUACUUACUAAGCAUAUAGCUUACCCCGUUCCUUUUGUUUUCCUUAGCAGGGGCCGACGCGGGGACUUAUGGGCACUUACACUAGUAUUGGUUUGUCAUAGUUGGACAAUUA
This 1013-nucleotide long non-coding RNA is filed under the name Coffea arabica (coffee). RNAcentral describes it as "long non-coding RNA (CARA_LNC008133)". Lineage: Eukaryota; Viridiplantae; Streptophyta; Magnoliopsida; Gentianales; Rubiaceae. The record is from RNAcentral.